Molecule: ribosomal RNA, 424 nt
Filed under: uncultured bacterium
Lineage: Bacteria
Description: bacterial SSU rRNA
Rfam family: Bacterial small subunit ribosomal RNA
Source: RNAcentral
UGAGGAAUAUUGGUCAAUGGGCGCAAGCCUGAACCAGCCAUCCCGCGUGCAGGAAGACGGCCCUAUGGGUUGUAAACUGCUUUUCCAGGGGGAGAAUUUUUCUGUCGUGACAGGAAUUGACGGUACCCUGGGAAUAAGCAUCGGCUAACUCCGUGCCAGCAGCCGCGGUAAUACGGAGGAUGCGAGCGUUAUCCGGAUUUAUUGGGUUUAAAGGGUGCGUAGGCGGAUUGAUAAGUCAGUGGUGAAAACCUGCAGCUUAACUGUAGACUUGCCGUUGAUACUGUCAGUCUUGAGUGUGGUCAAGGUAAGCGGAAUGUGUAAUGUAGCGGUGAAAUGCUUAGAUAUUACACAGAACACCGAUUGCGAAGGCAGCUUACUGGGCCAUUACUGACGCUGACGCACGAAAGCGUGGGGAUCGAACAGG